AACGAACGCUGGCGGCAUGCCUAACACAUGCAAGUCGAACGAGACCUUCGGGUCUAGUGGCGCACGGGUGCGUAACGCGUGGGAACCUGCCCUUAGGUUCGGAAUAACUCCCCGAAAGGGGUGCUAAUACCGGAUAAUGUCUUCGGACCAAAGAUUUAUCGCCUUUGGAUGGGCCCGCGUUGCAUUAGCUAGUUGGUAGGGUAAAGGCCUACCAAGGCGACGAUCCAUAGCUGGUCUGAGAGGGUGAUCAGCCACACUGGGACUGAGACACGGCCCAGACGCCGACGGGAGGGAGCAGUCGGGAAUCGUCGGGAAGGGGCGGAGGCCGGACGGAGCAACGCCGCGGGAGUGAUGAAGGUCUUCGGCUCGUAAAACUAUGUGAGUAGGGAAGAACAUAUGUGUAAGUAACUGUGCACAUCAUGACGGUACCUAAUCAGAAAGCCACGGCUAACUACGUG
Molecule: ribosomal RNA, 458 nt
Filed under: uncultured bacterium
Lineage: Bacteria
Description: partial 16S ribosomal RNA
Rfam family: Bacterial small subunit ribosomal RNA
Source: RNAcentral